RNAcentral lists this unclassified non-coding RNA (212 nucleotides) under uncultured Hypocreaceae. RNAcentral's name for it is "sequence contains ITS1". The record is from RNAcentral. Lineage: Eukaryota; Fungi; Ascomycota; Sordariomycetes; Hypocreales.
CCGAGUUUACAACUCCCAACCCCAAUGUGAACGCUACCAAACCGUUGCCUCGGCGGGAUCUUCUGCCCCGGGCGCGUCGCAGCCCCGGACCAAGGCGCCCGCCGGAGGACCAAACCCCCAAAACUCUUGCCUUUCUGCGCCCCCUCGCGGGUGUCUUCACAACCGUCUGAGCCACCUCGGCGCCCCCUCGCGGGCGUUCCGAAAAUCAAUCA